CCCGGCACGGGGAGGUAGUGACAAAAAAUAAACGAUACGGGACUCAUCCGAGGGCCCCGUAAUCGGAAUGAGUGCACUUUAAAUCCUUUCAUGAGGAUCUAUUGGAGGGCAAGUCUGGUGCCAGCAGCCGCGGUAAUUCCAGCUCCAAUAGCGUAUAUUAAAGCUGUUGCGGUUAAAAAGCUCGUAGUUGGUUCUGUGUUCCAUACUGUUGGUUCACCGCCUGUCGGUGUAACUAACAUGUCAUGGAACGUCUUGUCGGUGGUAAUUAAAGGCCUAUUAUUUAGAAGAAGGUUUGCUUUUUUCCUAAAUGUAGGUUAUUUUAAUUACCGAUUAGUUCCUACCGCGGUGCUCUUUACUGAGUGUCGAGGUCGGCCGAUAAGUUUACUUUGAACAAAUUAGAGUGCUUAAAGCAGGCUCAAGUCUGCCUUGAAUAGUGGUGCAUGGAAUAAUAGAAUAGGACCUUGGUUCUAUUUUGCUGGUUUUCUGAGUCCAAGGUAAUGAUCAAUAUGGACAGGCGGGGGCAUUCGUAUUGCGACGUUAGAGGUGAAAUUCUUGGAUCGUCGCAAGACGAACUAGAGCGAAAGCAUUUGCCAAGUAUGUCUUAAUUGAUCAAGAACGAAAGUUAGAGGUUCGAAGGCGAUCAGAUACCGCCCUAGUUCUAACCAUAAACGAUGCCAGCUAGCGAUCCGCCGAUGUUUUUUUCAUGACUCGACGGGCAGCUCCCGGGAAACCAAAGCUUUUGGGUUCCGGGGGAAGUAUGGUUGCAAAGCUGAAACUUAAAGGAAUUGACGGAAGGGCACCACCAGGAGUGGAGCUUGCGGUUUAAUUUGACUCAACACGGGAAACCUCACUAGGCCCAGAC
This 862-nucleotide ribosomal RNA is filed under the name Schizopterinae sp. UCR ENT 00081314. Its description in RNAcentral is "SSU rRNA". It matches the Rfam family "Eukaryotic small subunit ribosomal RNA", at positions 450 to 1229 of the family's 1831-position model. Lineage: Eukaryota; Metazoa; Arthropoda; Insecta; Hemiptera; Schizopteridae. The record is from RNAcentral.